CGCUGGCGGCAGGCCUAACACAUGCAAGUCGAGCGCCCCGCAAGGGGAGCGGCGGACGGGUGAGUAACGCGUGGGAACGUACCCUUUGCUACGGAAUAGCCUCGGGAAACUGGGAGUAAUACCGUAUGUGCCCUUCGGGGGAAAGAUUUAUCGGCAAAGGAUCGGCCCGCGUUGGAUUAGGUAGUUGGUGGGGUAAUGGCCUACCAAGCCGACGAUCCAUAGCUGGUUUGAGAGGAUGAUCAGCCACACUGGGACUGAGACACGGCCCAGACUCCUACGGGAGGCAGCAGUGGGGAAUCUUAGACAAUGGGCGCAAGCCUGAUCUAGCCAUGCCGCGUGAGCGAUGAAGGCCUUAGGGUUGUAAAGCUCUUUCAGUGGGGAAGAUAAUGACUGUACCCACAGAAGAAGCCCCGGCUAACUCCGUG
This 425-nucleotide ribosomal RNA is filed under the name uncultured bacterium. Its description in RNAcentral is "bacterial SSU rRNA". It matches the Rfam family "Bacterial small subunit ribosomal RNA", at positions 34 to 507 of the family's 1533-position model. The record is from RNAcentral.